Molecule: ribosomal RNA, 558 nt
Filed under: uncultured bacterium
Lineage: Bacteria
Description: partial 16S ribosomal RNA
Source: RNAcentral
CGGAUCAGCUCGGGUACUCCGAAUGCANCUAGAUUUAAGUUUGAUCAUGGCUCAGAAUCAACGCUGGUCGGCGUGCCUAACACAUGCAAGUCGAACGCGCAAAGUCCCGACAAGGGAUCACGUAGAGUGGCAAACGGGUGAGUAACGGCGUGGAGCGACUCUACACAUCCUGAAGUUGGGGCGAAUAAGCCGUAUCCGCAGAAGGGAGGGCUAAAUACCCGCAAUUGAACACUCCUCNGUGCCUAUUGGGAGUACUACCGAGAAAAGUCGAAAGUCUCUGCGGGGAAAUCGUCGAAAGAAACCCUGNACGGCCUAUUGCGGCAAGCAAGCGGUGGCCCAGUUCAUGAGUCCNGGACUUAGGCCUAAAGCUAUGGGGUUGGGCGGGGUAAACUGUGGCAGUUCCACACCAAAAGUGCGCUUCCACAGGAAUACGGGGGNGUAAUUCCCCUGGGGACNCCCUUUGGCAAANACAACGCNGGGGACCGGUGGAAACCGGUGGACACCAGUAAACCCAAACCGUUGGGGAGCACAAACCCUUUGGAAAGGGCAAAAACACAG